This 50-nucleotide non-coding RNA is filed under the name Trypanosoma brucei brucei. Lineage: Eukaryota; Euglenozoa; Kinetoplastea; Trypanosomatida; Trypanosomatidae. The record is from RNAcentral.
AAUCAUGAACAUCCAUAUAACUAGGGCAGUGGUUUGUUGAUUGUAGUUAU